Molecule: ribosomal RNA, 496 nt
Filed under: uncultured bacterium
Lineage: Bacteria
Description: bacterial SSU rRNA
Rfam family: Bacterial small subunit ribosomal RNA
Source: RNAcentral
ACUCAAAUGAAUAGACGGGGGCCCGCACAAGCGGUGGAGCAUGUGGUUUAAUUCGAUGCAACGCGAAGAACCUUACCAAGAUUUGACAUCCCUCUGACAGGGCUAGAGAUAGCUCCUCCCUUCGGGGCAGAGGUGACAGGUGGUGCAUGGUUGUCGUCAGCUCGUGUCGUGAGAUGUUGGGUUAAGUCCCGCAACGAGCGCAACCCUUACCUUUAGUAGCCAUCAUUCAGUUGGGCACUCUAGAGGGACUGCCGUUUUAAAACGGAGGAAGGUGGGGAUGAGGUCAAAUCAUCAUGCCCUUUAUGUCUUGGGCAACACACGUGCUACAAUGGCUAUAACAAAGUGAUGCAAACCGGCGACGGUUAGCCAACCACAAAAAAAUAGUCUCAGUUCGGAUUGUAGUCUGCAACUCGACUGCAUGAAGCUGGAAUCGCUAGUAAUCGCGGAUCAGAAUGUCGCGGUGAAUACGUUCCCGGGCCUUGUACACACCGCCCGU